CACAUUUAAAUUUUUUAAAGACACAUUUUUUAAAUUGAUAUGACUUCGACCACUACUAAAGACCUACCCCGUGGUGGAAAGCAGACAUUCAAACCUAAAUUUAAGAGUGAUAAAAAUCAUAAACAGAUUAAAAAGAAUCGGAUUAAAAGACAUGUAGAAAAUAUCGAAAUAAAUACUAGGAUGUUUGGCCAUUUUGAUAAAAUUAACUUCAAUACCCUUACACCUGAAAUGAAAUUUUUGGGGAUUAUUAAAGCUAUUCAUGAUUAUGAAAUGAAAAUAUCACUGCCAG
Long non-coding RNA from Gordionus sp. m RMFG-2023, 289 nucleotides. RefSeq lists it as uncharacterized. The transcript is spliced from 3 exons. The record is from RefSeq and is a predicted model, not a curated record. Lineage: Eukaryota; Metazoa; Nematomorpha; Gordioida; Chordodea; Parachordodidae.